RNAcentral lists this ribosomal RNA (465 nucleotides) under Vreelandella stevensii. RNAcentral describes it as "partial 16S ribosomal RNA". It matches the Rfam family "Bacterial small subunit ribosomal RNA", at positions 338 to 795 of the family's 1533-position model. Lineage: Bacteria; Pseudomonadati; Pseudomonadota; Gammaproteobacteria; Oceanospirillales; Halomonadaceae. The record is from RNAcentral.
CCUACGGGUGGCAGCAGUGGGGAAUAUUGGACAAUGGGGGGAACCCUGAUCCAGCCAUGCCGCGUGUGUGAAGAAGGCCCUCGGGUUGUAAAGCACUUUCAGUGAGGAAGAACGCCUGGUGGUUAAUACCCAUCAGGAAAGACAUCACUCACAGAAGAAGCACCGGCUAACUCCGUGCCAGUAGCCGCGGUAAUACGGAGGGUGCGAGCGUUAAUCGGAAUUACUGGGCGUAAAGCGCGCGUAGGUGGCUUGAUAAGCCGGUUGUGAAAGCCCCGGGCUCAACCUGGGAACGGCAUCCGGAACUGUCAAGCUAGAGUGCAGGAGAGGAAGGUAGAAUUCCCGGUGUAGCGGUGAAAUGCGUAGAGAUCGGGAGGAAUACCAGUGGCGAAGGCGGCCUUCUGGACUGACACUGACACUGAGGUGCGAAAGCGUGGGUAGCAAACAGGAUUAGAUACCCCUGUAGUC